This 468-nucleotide ribosomal RNA is filed under the name uncultured bacterium. RNAcentral describes it as "partial 16S ribosomal RNA". It matches the Rfam family "Bacterial small subunit ribosomal RNA", at positions 28 to 507 of the family's 1533-position model. The record is from RNAcentral.
GACGAACGCUGGCGGCGUGCUUAACACAUGCAAGUCGAACGGAAAGGCCCUGCUUUUGUGGGGUGCUCGAGUGGCGAACGGGUGAGUAACACGUGAGUAACCUGCCCUUGACUUUGGGAUAACUUCAGGAAACUGGGGCUAAUACCGGAUAGGAGCUCCUGCUGCAUGGUGGGGGUUGGAAAGUUUCGGCGGUUGGGGAUGGACUCGCGGCUUAUCAGCUUGUUGGUGGGGUAGUGGCUUACCAAGGCUUUGACGGGUAGCCGGCCUGAGAGGGUGACCGGCCACAUUGGGACUGAGAUACGGCCCAGACUCCUACGGGAGGCAGCAGUGGGGAAUAUUGCACAAUGGGCGGAAUCCUGAUGCAGCAACGCCGCGUGCGGGAUGACGGCCUUCGGGUUGUAAACCGCUUUCGCCUGUGACGAAGCGUGAGUGACGGUAAUGGGUAAAGAAGCACCUGCUAACUACGUG